This 434-nucleotide long non-coding RNA is filed under the name Hordeum vulgare. RNAcentral's name for it is "long non-coding RNA (HVUL_LNC004954)". The record is from RNAcentral. Lineage: Eukaryota; Viridiplantae; Streptophyta; Magnoliopsida; Poales; Poaceae.
UGAUAUAAGCCAGGUUUGGUUUCAAAGAAGUUCUCGACUUCACAUUAGAAUGUCAGGCUCAUAUCAAAAUUGCUUAUUCAAAAAACAAAGUACACAAGUCACAUAACCUGAUAUAAGCCAGGUUUGAUGUUGCAAAUCUUUGCAAAAAAACAGUAUCCCAAUAAUUCUUCAUAUGUGCCUAUCAUAUCUUCCAUUCUGUAGCAUCCUUCCAAAUACAGGUGUAACUAACAACAGCAUCAGCAAGAACAAGAAAACCAAGGAGCAGAGCAUGGCAUGGCAUUCAGGGUAAACCUCGUAGCAGAAGUAGUCACUCACAGGUUGUUUGGGAGUAGACCGACAAACGGCCACCCACACUAUACAAGAAUGGUGCUCCUAGCCGAGUUCCCGACGAAGGCGCGCCGGAAGCGCCACAACAUGAGCGCCUUGUACCUCCG